UUCUGGCAUGUACAUUAAGAUUUAGUUUUUAACGCAAAAUUCGAAAUUUAUGGUAUACUUCACUUUGUUACUAUAUUCAUAUUAUCUACAUAUACAUACCCUUGCUCCAAUAUUAUUGAUUAUGUAAAUUCGUUCUAAUAUUAAGAUAAUAAUAAUGUUUCAUUUAAAUAUAUACAAUAAAAUAUCAUCAUCAUUAACAACCAUAUUCGGCUCACUGUUGACCACGAGUCUCCUCUCAGAAUGAGAGGUUAGGUCAAUAGUCCACCACGCUAGCCCUUCGAAUCGAAGGCAGAGGUCAUAUCCACUGAGCUAUCACGGCUCAAUGGAUAUGACCAAUAUGACAAUUACAUUUGAUAAAAUAGAAGUUAAUAUGGGACUAAGUCAAAGCUUACAUGAUGAGUUAACAGACCUGUUCUGAAGUCAUUUGAGGACAAAAAUAAUUUAAUUUCACUGAUUUGUAGCAAAAGUUAUACAAUACAUUUGCUACAAAUCAACAUAACUGUUCUUAUGUACAGAAAGUAGUUAUUAUAGAUAAUUUUAUUUUUUCAGGUACAAUAGCUUGCAAUCAGAAAUUAUUAGGGUACAAAUACAUACAUUCAGUUUUGCUGAUGCCCGAAACGAGUAGAAGACACAAACUACCACAUUCAAGCUGAAAUCUGAAGUAUGCAAACAUUACAUAACCUCAACCUCGGACCAGAGCGACCUUGUGUGUUUUCUUCAUCUUAAUUUAAAGGUGUGUGUGUCGACUGAAUACCUACUUAUCAGCUUCAUCUUGGUGUAGCAGUUAUGUUGGCACCUCGUAAAGGCCUGUCUUCAUAAUAUAGGUAAGCCAUACUGAUGUGACGUGUUAAAUGCUAUUUAAUUAUGUUUAUUUUUAACUUGCGAAAAAUAUACGAUAAUAAAGUA
Long non-coding RNA from Bicyclus anynana (squinting bush brown), 906 nucleotides. RefSeq lists it as uncharacterized. The record is from RefSeq and is a predicted model, not a curated record. The transcript has 7 exons. Lineage: Eukaryota; Metazoa; Arthropoda; Insecta; Lepidoptera; Nymphalidae.